Mustela erminea (ermine) is the source of this 2898-nucleotide long non-coding RNA. RefSeq lists it as uncharacterized. The record is from RefSeq and is a predicted model, not a curated record. The transcript is spliced from 4 exons. Lineage: Eukaryota; Metazoa; Chordata; Mammalia; Carnivora; Mustelidae.
AGAAAGUGAGGCGCGACCCAGAGGAAACCCGGUCAGAGCUCAGAACAGUGCACGAGGGAGGCACACCGCCCAGACACACCUUCUGAGGAGGUCCUGUGAUCUCCAUUCUACUGAAGAGGAAACGGAGGCACAGACAGGGCCGGCAACUGGUCUGUUUGCACAGCUAUACCACCUAAGGGGAAGGACUGAUCUGCGUUUGAUACACCUCUUAACUGGGAUCCACCCCAGUGAGACCCUCUCGAAGUGCAGGUGAAGCCGGCGUCCCUCAGCUGCUUCAAUGACCCACCGGCAGUGAGAACUGAGUGAUCUCUCUUUUUGUGCUGCUAAGAAGCUCAGAACCAGAUCAAGGCUUGUUCCGAGCAACAGUGGCUUGUCCAUCCACCUUCUAUUUUUGUCAUCUUUAAUAAGCACUUCCUGGUACCCAUUUUCUUAUUUAAUUUUGCUGCAUUGUUUUUCGAAAGCCUCCUGAAACUCUUGUGGAAUCACAGGAGAUAAAACAAAGAAAUAGGAAGUGACUUGGGGCCGGGGUGGGGGGGUGGGUGCUGGCCGGCCUAGCCGGAAGGUCGUGAAGUCUUGAUCUUGGGGUCAUGUGUUUGAGCCCCAUGUUAGUCACGGAGUAGAGAUUACUUAAAUCUCUAAACUUAAAAAGGUAGGAGAGAGUACGGAAGUGGGGGAGGGAAGAAGGGAGGAAGGAAGUGACUUGGCAGGAGACAGUGGACUCUAAAUUUGGUCCGGACAUAGUUCUAUGCUUCAGACCAGACAGAGUUCAUCAAGAAGGGCUUCCUGGAGGAGAUGUACCAAAGCUGCGUCUCUGUAGGAGGGGCAGGCUCUGGAUAGCCGUGCUUGGGAGAUUCCGGCUCGCCUGGGCCUUGCUUUUGCUAACUGUGCCGCCCUGAGUGAUUAAGUCAGAGACCUGGUCUCCCUACUUCACAGUUCAGCAAGCAUUUCCUUGGCUGGGUGCUAGUGCAGAGAGGUGAAAAGGACCCAGGCCUUGUCCGUUCGGAGUCUGCAGUCUACCGAGACAGACCCCAAAAGUUUCUCGAGCACGGUGGCUUAAAUAAAUAUUAGCCUCUUGAUGGCUCUCCACGACCGACAGAAUCCAGCCCAAACGCUUUGGAUUGACAUUCCAGCCCCUUCUAUCACUGCUCCCAGCCGAACACCUCCAGCUUCAGUUCUUAAACCCACAACCCAUAGAGCCUACCCACAAGGUAGCUUUGUGACUUCAUAUUUUUUCGCAUCAUCUCCCCUACCUGCGAGGUCCUUUUCCCGGUCUUUCUCAUCUUUCAAGGAGUAACGUAAGUACCACCUCUUCCAGGAAGUCUUCCUCGCCCCUCCCCUCUCCCACAGAGUUAGUUUCUUUCUUGCCUCCACACCUGUGCUCGCGUACUUUUAUCAUCACGUGAACUGCUGUCUGUUGCCAUGGUGAGGCUGAACCCGCCUCACUUGUUUUGUCCCCUAAAAACCUGGCCAAGCCGAUCUGCCCAUGCAACCUAGAGGUGAUAUGCGCCUGAACACACUGGACUGGGAGAUGGGCACACCUGACUUCUAGUUCUAGCUCCACGACUUAUUCGCUGUAUGACCUUGGGCAGGUGAUGCCCCCUCGGGGGCCUGUCACCCGUCAAUAGCAGUAGUAAGUCCUACCAUUGGCCAGCCAGCCUUCCAGUUAAAGGAAAGAAACACGCAAAGCACCUCACACAGAGAAAGUGCUCAGAAAAUCUGAAGCCCCCGUCCCUCAGGCUCGAUGAAUGAAUGACCGGGAGUCUGCGGAUCUGUCUGCUGACUCUGCAGCACACCUGUGGGUGGCUGGGCCCUCCCUACAGCCCUUCUUCCUCUUGGAGGUGGAGUGGCCAACGGCCACCCUUGGCGGUGCCCCGGGAAGCACACAAAACAACCAGUCAGCACCAGGGUUGUGUAAAUGGGAGUGUUUGCUGGGCCUGGGGCGAGCGGUGAUGGAACCUUUGGCCUUUCAGAGAAGCUAACAAGGCCACUCUGGACCAGAGGCCCCCGCUAGUGGAGACUGGGGAAGGCUUAAACAGGGCCUCGGUCCCAGAGGGGCCCAGAGAAGCCGCAAAGCAGGGAAGACCGAGGCAGGUAAUGAAGGCCAAUUUAUGCAACAGCCCUGCUUCCCCAGAUGUCUGAAGAGUCCUAUUUUCAGGGCCCUAGGGAAGUGGCUGCUUAAGGGAGCUGGCGGGGAGCCAUUUCGUAAUGUUGGAAGGGCAGUCCCCCAACCCCCGCCCUAGGCCCUUGGGCAUGACCUUGCUCCCUGCCAACCGGACCACCAGUUACGUGGCUCCCGUCUCACUGGCCCUUCCGCCUUGUGCAUAAGAGUCCCUGGGGCCCAAGCAGAGGCCUCAGGAGAAACUGGAAAGGGUGUGAGGCAGGGAUCCGUGUUGUGUGUGUCCUGGAUAAGGCCCACGAGGGGCAGGCAAGGCCAUGAGGUGAUGUGAAGGGGACGUUGGCCCCAAACCCAGUUCGCUCUGUUUCUGAGGAGCACAGGAAGGGGCUUUGGAGACGGCAGCAGCGUCUGGAACGGGACAGCAGGUUGCCGCGCACACACACGGGCUAGAGCGUAUGCUCGCUCUGUGGGAAGGUUCCUGCACACACAGGUGAGCACGGUGUGCACCUGCGUGUAGGCUGUCUGUGGGGGGUGCUCCUGAGUGCGGUCGUGCACGGAUACCACCCCUUCCUACACCCCCAAAGUCAGCAGGAUCUUUCUAGGUCACACAUCUGAGGUUGUCACGACCUUGCUUCAGACAUUUCAAGAACGUCUCCAUGUCCCUUGCAGGGUAAGUAGUCUGUACCCAUUACUGAAUUUGAUGAGGCCCUUCCUGAUCUGAAUCCAACCUCCUAGUCUGGUUUCUUUUUUUUUUCUCUCUCUCUUUCUUUCUUUCUUUUUUU